This 253-nucleotide ribosomal RNA is filed under the name uncultured bacterium. RNAcentral describes it as "partial 16S ribosomal RNA". It matches the Rfam family "Bacterial small subunit ribosomal RNA", at positions 524 to 776 of the family's 1533-position model. The record is from RNAcentral.
UACGAAGGGUGCAAACGUUGCUCGGAAUCAUUGGGCGUAAAGCGCACGUAGGCGGCUUCGCAAGUCGGAUGUGAAAUCCCGUGGCUCAACCAUGGACGUGCAUCCGAAACUGCGAGGCUUGAGUAUGGAAGAGGGUCGCGGAAUUCCCGGUAUAGAGGUGAAAUUCGUAGAUAUCGGGAGGAACACCAGUGGCGAAGGCGGCGACCUGGGCCAAUACUGACGCUGAGGUGCGAAAGCGUGGGGAGCAAACAGG